GUUUGAGGUUCUAACCUUGGCCCGUGAAUCCGGGUCGGGGACAGUGCAUGGUAGGCAGUUUGACUGGGGCGGUCUCCUCCCAAAGUGUAACGGAGGAGUUCGAAGGUACGCUUGGUACGGUCGGACAUCGUACCUAAAGUGCAAUGGCAAAAGCGUGCUUAACUGCGAGACCGACAAGUCGAGCAGGUGCGAAAGCAGGUCAUAGUGAUCCGGUGGUUCUGUAUGGAAGGGCCAUCGC
RNAcentral lists this ribosomal RNA (238 nucleotides) under Mycobacterium tuberculosis. RNAcentral's name for it is "partial 23S ribosomal RNA". It matches the Rfam family "Bacterial large subunit ribosomal RNA", at positions 2212 to 2448 of the family's 2925-position model. Lineage: Bacteria; Bacillati; Actinomycetota; Actinomycetes; Mycobacteriales; Mycobacteriaceae. The record is from RNAcentral.